RNAcentral lists this ribosomal RNA (373 nucleotides) under uncultured organism. RNAcentral describes it as "partial 16S ribosomal RNA". It matches the Rfam family "Bacterial small subunit ribosomal RNA", at positions 527 to 896 of the family's 1533-position model. The record is from RNAcentral.
GUAGGUGGCAAGCGUUGUCCAGAAUUAUUGGGCGUAAAGCGCGCGCAGGCGGUUUUUUAAGUCUGAUGUGAAAGCCCACGGCUCAACCGUGGAGGGUCAUUGGAAACUGGAGAACUUGAGUACAGAAGAGGAAAGCGGAAUUCCACGUGUAGCGGUGAAAUGCGUAGAGAUGUGGAGGAACACCAGUGGCGAAGGCGGCUUUCUGGUCUGUAACUGACGCUGAGGCGCGAAAGCGUGGGGAGCAAACAGGAUUAGAUACCCUGGUAGUCCACGCCGUAAACGAUGAGUGCUAAGUGUUAGGGGGGUUUCCGCCCCCCUUAGUGCUGCAGCUAACGCAUUAAGCACUCCGCCUGGGAGUACGGCCGCAAGGCUG